Molecule: long non-coding RNA, 616 nt
Filed under: Cavia porcellus (domestic guinea pig)
Lineage: Eukaryota; Metazoa; Chordata; Mammalia; Rodentia; Caviidae
Description: lncRNA (ENSCPOG00000039526.1)
Source: RNAcentral
CCUGAGACACCGCUUUGUCCUCUCAGGGUGGUGAUCUUCUGUGACCGCUGUGAGGAGUGGUUCCUGGGUGUUUCUGAGGCUCGAGGGCAGCCCUUGGAGAAGAACAGGGAUCCAGCACAAGGGGACUGCAGAAGCCACCGAUGACCAGGAGCCUGGGCGCAGACCCAGAGGUGCUGACGACAUAGAACGCAGGAGCAGCGGGCCAGGCACGCAGAGUGCCUGUGCCAAGCAGGGGAGCCAGGGCGGAAGUGAGGAGACUUCAAGCUGCAGCGGUGAGAAGCCCACAAGGACGGCCCUGCCUGCCUUGAGUCACCACGUCCAAAUCCGCUCCUUGGGUUGGUCAUCAGUGAGAAACAGAAACACCUUCCAGAGCCUGUGGAGCUGGACAGAAUACAUGAGAAGGCCCCCCUGGACACGCCAGGCCGUCACCGCCUCCCUGCAGCCCCAUGGUCCAAGAGGAAGCCCCCGAAAAGCCAGCCCUCUUCUGCAGCUGUGGGGACCCCAGCAGCUCUGCUGCCUCUCUCUGAGGCCCCUGUUUGGAAAACACUCUCCCCAGGGGCCACCUACAGCAUCACCACUCCUGCCACAGCAGUGCCAGCUCCUGAGGCAGCUUCAC